GCCUUCGUGAUGUAAUGGCCAGCACGCUCGGCCCGUAUUCGAGAGUCCGAGGUUCGAAUCCCAGCGAGGGCG
RNAcentral lists this transfer RNA (72 nucleotides) under Stegodyphus mimosarum. It matches the Rfam family "tRNA". From Rfam's summary of the family: Transfer RNA (tRNA) molecules are approximately 80 nucleotides in length. The record is from Rfam by way of RNAcentral. Lineage: Eukaryota; Metazoa; Arthropoda; Arachnida; Araneae; Eresidae.